Molecule: ribosomal RNA, 398 nt
Filed under: uncultured bacterium
Lineage: Bacteria
Description: bacterial SSU rRNA
Rfam family: Bacterial small subunit ribosomal RNA
Source: RNAcentral
AGUAAAUAGAUACCCUGGUAGUCCACGCCGUAAACGAUGAGUACUAGGUGUAGGAGGUAUCGACUCCUUCUGUGCGCAGUUAAACACAAUAAGUACUCCGCCUGGGAAGUACGGUCGCAAGAUUAAAACUCAAAGGAAUUGACGGGGGCCCGCACAAGCAGCGGAGCAUGUGGUUUAAUUCGAAGCAACGCGAAGAACCUUACCUAGACUUGACAUCUCCUGAAUAGUGUAGAGAUACAUGAAGCCCUUCGGGGCAGGAAGACAGGUGGUGCAUGGUUGUCGUCAGCUCGUGUCGUGAGAUGUUGGGUUAAGUCCCGCAACGAGCGCAACCCUUACUUACUAGUUGCUACCAUUAAGUUGAGCACUCUAGUGAGACUGCCCGGGUUAACCGGGAGGAA